RNAcentral lists this ribosomal RNA (521 nucleotides) under uncultured bacterium. Its description in RNAcentral is "bacterial SSU rRNA". It matches the Rfam family "Bacterial small subunit ribosomal RNA", at positions 8 to 518 of the family's 1533-position model. The record is from RNAcentral.
AGAGUUUGAUUAUGGCUCAGGAUGAACGCUAGCUACAGGCUUAACACAUGCGAAGUCGAGGGGCAGCAUGUGGUUGCUUGCAACCAAUGAUGGCGACCGGCGCACGGGUGAGUAACGCGUAUCCAACCUUCCCUAUAGUAGAGGAUAGCCCGGCGAAGGUCGGAUUAAUACUCUAUGUUUUCCAAUGCAGACAUCUAAAAUGGAACAAAGGUUCACCGCUAUAGGAUGGGGAUGCGUCUGAUUAGAUAGUCGGCGGGGUAACGGCCCACCGAGUCGACGAUCAGUAGGGUUCUGAGAGGAAGGUCCCCCACAUUGGAACUGAGACACGGUCCAAACUCCUACGGGAGGCAGCAGUGAGGAAUAUUGGUCAAGUGGGCGAGAGCCUGAACCAGCCAAGUAGCGUGCAGGAUGACGGCCCUAUGGGUUGUAAACUGCUUUUAUACAGGGAUAAAGUGACGUACGUGUACGUUUUUGUAGGUACUGUAUGAAUAAGGACCGGCUAAUUCCGUGCCAGCCGCAGC